UACGAAGGGGGCUAGCGUUGCUCGGAAUCACUGGGCGUAAAGCGCACGUAGGCGGAUUUUUAAGUCAGGGGUGAAAUCCUGGAGCUCAACUCCAGAACUGCCUUUGAUACUGGGAAUCUCGAGUCCGGGAGAGGUGAGUGGAACUCCGAGUGUAGAGGUGAAAUUCGUAGAUAUUCGGAAGAACACCAGUGGCGAAGGCGGCUCACUGGACUGGUAUUGACGCUGAGGUGCGAAAGCGUGGGGAGCAAACAGG
This 253-nucleotide ribosomal RNA is filed under the name uncultured bacterium. RNAcentral's name for it is "partial 16S ribosomal RNA". It matches the Rfam family "Bacterial small subunit ribosomal RNA", at positions 524 to 776 of the family's 1533-position model. The record is from RNAcentral.